Molecule: long non-coding RNA, 1016 nt
Organism: Cannabis sativa
Lineage: Eukaryota; Viridiplantae; Streptophyta; Magnoliopsida; Rosales; Cannabaceae
Exons: 2
Source: RefSeq, a predicted model, not a curated record
ACUAACUGAUUGUAAUUGAUAAAGCUAUAGGAUGGGGUAUGAUUCAUACGAGGGGUUUUUGAGAGUUGCUUAACUGAUCGAAGAAUCUUCAACAUAGUCUUUACCCCUUUUUUAUUCUAUUGUGCUCUCUAAGCCAGGAAAGUUGACAUUAAUUCGAAGUAUUCUAGGUGUGGUGGAAGUCAAGAGAAGGAUAUUGUGGAUGCCAUUUGGAAGUGCUCGACAACAGUUGCAACAUGGAAAGGGAGUGGGCUGUGGAAGCUACUAUUGCAGUAGUUCUUUUGACUUUCUUGACUUAGUGAAGGCCUUACUCUCCCCUGCUGAAUAUGAUUUGUUUGCGAUCCUUUCUUGGCAUAUUUGGUUAACUAGAAAUAAAUGGGUUCAUGGAGAGAUGAUUCCAAAGGCUGAAGAUGUUGUUGAAUGGUGCACAAAGUAUGUUGCAGAUUUUUAAAACUCCUCUUUGGGUUCAAACAAAUUGGCCUCCUCUAAUGGUACUCUGAAAUGGACUUUCUCCUGCUGCUAAUGAGGUAAAAAUCAAUGUUGACGCUGGUCUUUGCUCUUCCAACCUCUCUGGAAUUGUUGCUAGAAACCAUGACGGGCAGGUUUUAUGGGCUCGAACUGAUUAUAUAUAUCCUGUGGCCUCUUUCUCCUCUUGCGGCUGAGUUGACAGCCAUUAGAGCUGGGGUUCAUUUGGCCGUAGAAAAGAAGCUGCCAAAAAUUUGCAUUGCGCUGGAUUGUCUAGCUGCGAUUCAGUUGAUCAACUCCAAGUUUAGAGGUUGCUAGUCCUUUUUGUUGUUUUGGACUUGGCCUUUUCUAUUGUAUUUGUUUGGUUGGUUUGGUGAAUAUCUUCCUUUCCAAAAGAAAAAAUGGUACUAUAUUUUCUUAGUUUUCCCUUUUCUAGUUCCCUUCAUGGUUCUCAUCAUGCGUGCCAAAACUUUUCCGUAGUCUUGAACUUGGCGUCGCACAUUUUUGCAAGAGAAAUAACACUAAUGUGAAGGACUUAUUCAGUGUUAUGCAGU